This is a non-coding RNA of Sturnus vulgaris (Common starling), 730 nucleotides long. The record is from RefSeq and is a predicted model, not a curated record. Lineage: Eukaryota; Metazoa; Chordata; Aves; Passeriformes; Sturnidae.
GUUUUGGGGUGUGUGGGAGGAGAGGAAAAACACCUACAAAUAGCUGGCACGAUUCAAAUGGUCUCGGAUUAUGUUUCCCCCCCUCCAGUCCAGGAAGGAAACUCGCGUUUUAACGCUGCGAGGGGGAAAAAAUAGCUCUGUGCAAUAGGGGAUGAAGAGCACUUUGGUCAUUCGUUAAUACCCAAAGGGGCAGAGAUGAUAAAUGUGACAGCAUGUGGCAGCACGACCGUCACCCGGGUUCCUGCAAAAGGCGGCUCCGUAUCGCGACACGGGAAAUUAAGCGAUUGAGUGGGAGGUGGAGAAAGCGCUUAAACGGAGAAGUUAAUCUGCUAACAUGGAGAGGAAACAAACGGAGGAAAAAAAGCCUGAAGUACAAAACACCAAACUUUUGGGCUCAAAAGCCUAGACCAUCAUGGCUACGAAAACUACUGCUGCUGAGUGAGAGAGUAUGUAAUUCUGGAGUUCCUUAAGGAAAAAAGUACUGCAAUGCAACAUUAGAACAGUGGCCAAGUGAUCUUCUCCACAGCACCCAUGAACUUCAACCUUGAACUGAAGAAGAUUCAUCAAAUGGAAAGACAGUAUGGAGUUGAAGAGAAGCAAUGAUCUCCAAUGAUCUCCAUGAAGGGCUGUCAGUUAUAGUCGGCGUCGGCAUGCUUGGUUGGUCUGCCAGCUGAUAUGUGUAGCUCAGACCUGGCCACAAUGUGAGUUGCCUCCUGUUCUCCUAGACAUC